AAAGAAUCUGCUCAUGAUCCAAAACAUACAAGCUCAUCACUGACUACGUUUACAUGGACAGCAGUAAUCUAAUUAUUGACCUUACUCUGAGUAAGAUAAUAAUGUGAUUAAGGUGUUUACACGAGUCGCUUUUAGAAUACUCCUGUCAUGUUCCCGUUCUACAUGUUUUAGAACAUAAUUAGAAUAACAGCAGCGUCAUUACGUCACCGCGUCACGCCGUCCGACGUCCCUCCAGAAUUUCACGUAUCAACAUACAGUUCGUCUUCGUUAUGGUACCGUAUACAGUUUUGCGUGUUUUAUUUAUUUAUUUUUUUACAAACGCUUUAAGUGCAGUUAAUUAUUUGUCAUGCUGUACGUGCUAAUAGACAGCUGCUUGAAGCGGUGGGUGUGUCCCAAAUCACGUACUUACCGUCUAUAUAGUAGCCGAGAUACAUGUAUUUUUCCCCACUACAGGCCUAUAGUAGGAAAGUAUGCGAUUUGGGACACAGCCGAACUCUCUUGUUCGCCGUAAAACGUAAAACUGCCGUGUGUGAUCGUGUCCUGUCGCAAAAUGCGGUGAAAACUCCCACACGACGUUCAUAAUGUGAUUCAGGUGUUUACAUGUCACUACUACACGUCCAUAAUGCCACUAAAAUAGGAGUACUCCCCCUGUCUUAAUUCGAUUAUUGCUUAUUUCGAUUAUGACCUUAAUUAGAUUAAGAGAAAUGCAUCAAGACAGUGAUCCAAAAACACACUGCCAACUCAACAAAGGACUUCAACAGGGGGAAGAGUGGAAGGUUUUAGACUGGCCAUGUCAAUCACCAGACCUUAACUCAAACCUCCUGAAGAAGAGACUGAAGGGAAAAAUCACCUAAAACAAACAACUGAAAGAGGCUGCGGUAAAAGCCUGGAAAAGCAUCCGAACAAAAAGAAAUCAACAAUUUGGUGAUGUCAGUGAGUCACACGCUUGAUGCAGAUAUUGCAAGCAAGGGAUAUGCGACCAUAUAUUACGUGUUACUGACUUAAAUUUACUUCGUCUUAUCUGUUUCUAUACUUUUGCUCGCCUAAAAAUUGGAUCGUCUCAUACAAAAGGUGCUAUGUUUUAAGUUGUUUAACAGGUCUAGAUGUAAAUACCAGGAAAUAAAAGCUGAAAUCCUAAACUCUAUCUAAACUAUAUCCAUCUUUUGAUCUCAAACCCAAUUG
Molecule: long non-coding RNA, 1182 nt
Organism: Ictalurus punctatus (channel catfish)
Lineage: Eukaryota; Metazoa; Chordata; Actinopteri; Siluriformes; Ictaluridae
Source: Ensembl